GAUGAAGAACGUAGCGAAAUGCGAUAAGUAGUGUGAAUUGCAGAAUUCAGUGAAUCAUCGAAUCUUUGAACGCACAUUGCGCCCCUUGGUAUUCCAUGGGGCAUGCUUGUUCGAGCGUCAUUGCUGCCCUCAAGCACGGCUUGUGUGUUGGGCCUCCGUCCUCCUCCCGGGGGACGGGCCCGAAAGGCAGCGGCGGCACCGCGUCCGGUCCUCGAGCGUAUGGGGCUUCGUCACCCGCUCUUGUAGGCCCGGCCGGCGCUUGCCGACACAUCAAUCUUUUUUCCAGGUUGACCUCGGAUCAGGUAGGGAUACCCGCUGAACUUAAGCAUAUCAAUAAGCGGAGGA
RNAcentral lists this unclassified non-coding RNA (345 nucleotides) under soil metagenome. Its description in RNAcentral is "partial contains 5.8S ribosomal RNA, internal transcribed spacer 2, and large subunit ribosomal RNA". The stretch from base 1 to 120 matches the Rfam family "5.8S ribosomal RNA", at positions 35 to 154 of the family's 154-position model. The record is from RNAcentral.